UACGUAGGGUGCAAGCGUUAAUCGGAAUUACUGGGCGUAAAGCGUGCGCAGGCGGUGAUGUAAGACAGGUGUGAAAUCCCCGGGCUUAACCUGGGAACUGCAUUUGUGACUGCAUCGCUGGAGUGCGGCAGAGGGGGAUGGAAUUCCGCGUGUAGCAGUGAAAUGCGUAGAUAUGCGGAGGAACACCGAUGGCGAAGGCAAUCCCCUGGGCCUGCACUGACGCUCAUGCACGAAAGCGUGGGAGC
This 245-nucleotide ribosomal RNA is filed under the name uncultured bacterium. Its description in RNAcentral is "partial 16S ribosomal RNA". It matches the Rfam family "Bacterial small subunit ribosomal RNA", at positions 524 to 769 of the family's 1533-position model. The record is from RNAcentral.